Molecule: transfer RNA, 71 nt
Filed under: Loxodonta africana (African savanna elephant)
Lineage: Eukaryota; Metazoa; Chordata; Mammalia; Proboscidea; Elephantidae
Rfam family: tRNA
About the family: Transfer RNA (tRNA) molecules are approximately 80 nucleotides in length. Their secondary structure includes four short double-helical elements and three loops (D, anti-codon, and T loops). Further hydrogen bonds mediate the characteristic L-shaped molecular structure. tRNAs have two regions of fundamental functional importance: the anti-codon, which is responsible for specific mRNA codon recognition, and the 3' end, to which the tRNAs corresponding amino acid is attached (by aminoacyl-tRNA synthetases). tRNAs cope with the degeneracy of the genetic code in two manners: having more than one tRNA (with a specific anti-codon) for a particular amino acid; and 'wobble' base-pairing, i.e. permitting non-standard base-pairing at the 3rd anti-codon position.
Source: Rfam by way of RNAcentral
GCAGUGGUAGUUCAGUGGUAGAAAUCUCACCUUCCGUGCCGGAGUUCUGGUUUCGAUUCUCAGCCAAUGCA